AAUAGAUACCCUGGUAGUCACCCGUAAACGUUGGGAACUAGUUGUGGGGUCCUUUCCACGGAUUCCGUGACGCAGCUAACGCAUUAAGUUCCCCGCCUAGGGAGUACGGCCGCAAGGCUAAAACUCAAAGGAAUUGACGGGGACCCGCACAAGCGGCGGAGCAUGCGGAUUAAUUCGAUGCAACGCGAAGAACCUUACCAAGGCUUGACAUACACCAGAACACCCUAGAAAUAGGGGACUCUUUGGACACUGGUGAACAGGUGGUGCAUGGUUGUCGUCAGCUCGUGUCGUGAGAUGUUGGGUUAAGUCCCGCAACGAGCGCAACCCUCGUUCUAUGUUGCCAGCACGUAAUGGUGGGAACUCAUGGGAUACUGCCGGGGUCAACUCGGAGGAAGGUGGGGAUGACGUCAAAUCAUCAUGCCCCUUAUGUCUUGGGCUUCACGCAUGCUACAAUGGCCGGUACAAAGGGCUGCAAUACCGUGAGGUGAGCGAAUCCCGAAAAGCCGGUCCAGUUCGGAUUGAGGUCUGCAACUCGA
Molecule: ribosomal RNA, 536 nt
Filed under: uncultured bacterium
Lineage: Bacteria
Description: bacterial SSU rRNA
Rfam family: Bacterial small subunit ribosomal RNA
Source: RNAcentral